GAUGAACGCUGGCGGCGUGCCUAAUACAUGCAAGUCGAGCGAAUGGAUUAAGAGCUUGCUCUUAUGAAGUUAGCGGCGGACGGGUGAGUAACACGUGGGUAACCUGCCCAUAAGACUGGGUUAACUCCGGGAAACCGGGGCUAAUACCGGAUAACAUUUUGAACCGCAUGGUUCGAAAUUGAAAGGCGGCUUCGGCUGCCACUUAUGGAUGGACCCGCGUCGCAUUAGCUAGUUGGUGAGGUAACGGCUCACCAAGGCAACGAUGCGUAGCCGACCUGAGAGGGUGAUCGGCCACACUGGGACUGAGACACGGCCCAGACUCCUACGGGAGGCAGCAGUAGGGAAUCUUCCGCAAUGGACGAAAGUCUGACGGAGCAACGCCGCGUGAGUGAUGAAGGCUUUCGGGUCGUAAAACUCUGUUGUUAGGGAAGAACAAGUGCUAGUUGAAUAAGCUGGCACCUUGACGGUACCUAACCAGAAAGCCACGGCUAACUACGUGCCAGCCGCCGCCGUAA
This 515-nucleotide ribosomal RNA is filed under the name uncultured bacterium. RNAcentral describes it as "partial 16S ribosomal RNA". It matches the Rfam family "Bacterial small subunit ribosomal RNA", at positions 28 to 523 of the family's 1533-position model. The record is from RNAcentral.